AGAGGAAUAGCUGGGUCAAAUGGUUGGUUCCAUAUCCAGUUUUCCAAGGAAUCUCCAUACUGCUUUCCAAAUUGGCUGCACCAAUUUGCAGUCCCACCAGCAAU
This 104-nucleotide microRNA precursor is filed under the name Marmota monax (woodchuck). The record is from RNAcentral. Lineage: Eukaryota; Metazoa; Chordata; Mammalia; Rodentia; Sciuridae.